This 957-nucleotide long non-coding RNA is filed under the name Phasianus colchicus (ring-necked pheasant). RNAcentral describes it as "lncRNA (ENSPCLG00000013323.1)". The record is from RNAcentral. Lineage: Eukaryota; Metazoa; Chordata; Aves; Galliformes; Phasianidae.
CACCACCUGCGCCCGCGCACACGGCCGUGCCACCCGUGGGUCACCCAAUGGCACCCAUAGGUCACCAAUGCCACCCAAUGGCACCCAGUGCCACCCAUGGGUCACCAACGCCACCCAAUGCCACCCAGUGCCACCCAUGGGUCACCAAUGCCACCCAAUGCCACCCAAUGGNNNNNNNNNNNNNNNNNNNCCACCUAAUGCCACCCAUGGGUCACCAACGCCACCCAAUGGCACCCAGUGCCACCCAUGGGUCACCAACGCCACCCAAUGGCACCCAUAGGUCACCAACACCACCCAAUGGCACCCAAUGCCACCCGUGGGUCACCAACGCCACCCAAUGGCACCCAGUGCCACCCAUGGGUCACCAAUGCCACCCAAUGGCACCCAGUGCCACCCGUGGGUCACCAACGCCACCCAAUGCCACCCAAUGGCACCCAGUGCCAUCCGUGGGUCACCAAUGCCACCCAAUGCCACCCUGUGCCACCCUGUGCCCACCACGCGUCACCAAUGCCACCCAAUGGCACCCAUGGCUCACCAAUGCCACCCAAUGGCACCCAGUGCAACCUGUGGGUCACCAAUGCCACCCAAUGGCACCCGUGGCUCACCAACGCCUCCCAAUGGCACCCAGUGCCACCCGUGGGUCACCCAAUGCCACCCAAGGGCACCCAGUGCCACACUGUGCCACCCAGUAGCCACCAUGCGUCACCAAUGCCACCCAAUUACACCCAUGAGUCACCAAUGCCACCCAAUGGCACCCAGUGCCACCCGUGGGUCACCAACGCCACCCAAGGGCACCCAGUGCCACCCGUGGGUCACCCAAUGGCACCCAAUGGCACCCAGUGCCACCUGUGGGUCACCAAUGCCACCCAAUGGCACCCAAUGCCACCCAUGGGUCACCCAAUGCCACCCAGUGCCACCCGUGGGUCACCAACGCCACCCAAGGGUCACCAACGCCAC